This 348-nucleotide ribosomal RNA is filed under the name uncultured beta proteobacterium. RNAcentral's name for it is "bacterial SSU rRNA". It matches the Rfam family "Bacterial small subunit ribosomal RNA", at positions 256 to 595 of the family's 1533-position model. Lineage: Bacteria; Pseudomonadati; Pseudomonadota; Betaproteobacteria. The record is from RNAcentral.
GGUAAAGGCCUACCAAGGCGACGAUCCGUAGCUGGUCUGAGAGGACGACCAGCCACACUGGAACUGAGACACGGUCCAGACUCCUACGGGAGGCAGCAGUGGGGAAUUUUGGACAAUGGGGGAAAGCCUGAUCCAGCCAUUCCGCGUGAGUGAAGAAGGCCUUCGGGUUGUAAAGCUCUUUCGCAAGGAAAGAAAACUUAGCCACUAAUACUGGCUUGAGGAUGACGGUACCUUGAUAAGAAGCACCGGCUAACUACGUGCCAGCAGCCGCGGUAAUACGUAGGGUGCGAGCGUUAAUCGGAAUUACUGGGCGUAAAGCGUGCGCAGGCGGUUUNAUAAGUCAGAUGU